This is a long non-coding RNA of Olea europaea var. sylvestris, 2802 nucleotides long. RefSeq lists it as uncharacterized. Lineage: Eukaryota; Viridiplantae; Streptophyta; Magnoliopsida; Lamiales; Oleaceae. The transcript has 3 exons. The record is from RefSeq and is a predicted model, not a curated record.
UAGAAGAGAUAAGGGAGAAAUUUUCAUCCAUCACAAGGAUCAAAUAAUGCUAGUUGGACAGGCACAAAAACAGAUUAGAAAACAGGGUUUCAAAAAAGUGACAUGUCCAUGAAAUUUGGAGGAAAGGAAACAAAUAAAAGACUAUAGCACUCCCAUUCCUCUUUCUUAGAGCACCGACGUUGGGGAAAAUUUUUGCAAUUACAACCAUUUUGACAAUAAUCGAAAAUUUGAAGGUGCCGACAAGUAGGUUUGAACUCUGGUAACGUCGUGGGAAACCCAAAACACAGCAGCACUCCCACUUCACUUUCUUUGAGCAUCGACAUUGGGGAAAAUUUUUGCAAUUACAACCAUUUUGACGAUACCAGAAAUUUGAAGUAAGAUAGAGUAUGAACGAUGUUGAAGACAAGCACGACGAUGUUUUGGAGCCAUUAGAGAAUGAGAAUGUUACGGAGUUCGUGAGCGAAGUUGGUGGUGAAACAUUAAGGGGAUGGUGUAAUUGUACACGAAGUGGGAAUAUUAUUCAAAAAUGAACAAGAUAUGUAUUAUUUCUACAAAAAAUAUGCUUGUACAAUAGGUUUUCUAGUUAAGAAAAGGAGUUUGAAAAAGGGGGAGGAUGGAGUUUUAAGAUAUUUGACGUUGACAUGUAGCCGUGAAGGUGGAAGCAUCGAUAAUAGUAGCGAUUCUUUGAAGCCGCAUCCAAUAGUGAAGAUGGGUUGUAAAGCUACAAUAUAUGCAUCUUGCAAUGUUCUAGAAAACUAGAGAAUUUGCAGUAAACCUCAAACACAAUCAUGAUACAAGUCCUUCUAAAUCCCAGUUAUAUCGAUGCAAUAGACAAUUGAGUGCAGCUGUGAAAUGAAUGCUUCGGGUGAAUGAUUUGGCAAGAAUUGCGCUGCAUAAAAGUUACAACUCCGUAGUUGUAGAAGCAAUUGGAUAUGAGAACAUGACUUGUAUUGAAAGUUAUUAUUGGAACUAUGUAGAACGCGUGAGGCGAUUACGAAUUUAGAGAAGAUGUUGCAGCAAUUCAAUCCUACUUUUCCAAAAUGCAAGCACAAUAUUCGGGAUUUUAUUUUAAUAUUGAUUUGGACGAGGAGUCGUGGUUGAGAAGUGUGUUUAGCAGAUAAUCAGUAUAGGUAAGCAUACAAGGAGUUUGGUGAUGUUGUUUCAUUUGAUACUACUUAUCUUCCUAAUAAGUACAACAUGUUGUUCGCUCUUUUUGUUAGUGUAAAUCAUCACGAACAAUCGAUAGUGCUGGGUUGUGGUUUGGUGUCGAAUGAAGAUACAAAUACUUUUGUAUGGUUGUUCAAAACAUGGUUUCAGUGCAUGCACAGUCAAACUCCACAUGGUAUAAUUAUCGAUCAAGACAGGGCAAUGCAAUAUGUAAUUUAGAUUGUAUUUCCAAAUACCAAACAUAGAUGAUGUUUGUACCACAUUUUGAAGAAGUUGUCGGAGAAUUUUGGCUACCACAUGGAUAAGCAUUCGAUAGUAUAUGAUUUACAGUCCAGUGAAGAAUUCAAAGAUGAUUGGAGAAUAAUGAUUGAUAUGUAUAGAUUGCAUGAGAAUGAUGGCUAUCGGGAUUGUACGAGAAUAAAGGAUGUUGGGUUCCUUGCUUCUUGAAAAUCACUUUUUGGGCUGGGAUGUUAACUACACAGAGAAGUGAGAGUAUGAAUACGUUCUUCAAUGGCUAUGUUCAUUUAAAAAUAAGGUUGAGAAAGAGGUCCAAGCUGAUUUCAGGUCCUUUUCACAAAUGAUGCCAUGUACAACACAAUUUGAAAUGGAGCAAUAAUUUCAAUCAGUUUACAUCAUUUCGAAAUUUCAUGAAGUUCAAGAAGACUUCACAGGAAAGGUGUACUGCGACGAGUUGUCUACUUCGGACGAAUGUUUUUGUGCGACCUAUAAAGUAAGAGAGACAGUAAUGUACGAGGGUUCUAGAAAGAGAAAGACAUUUAUCGUGUCAUUCGCGAGAAAUAAAUGUGAUAUUGUUUGCACCUGUUAUUUGUUUGAGUUUUGGGGAAUACUUGUAGACAUGCGAUCAUAGUGCUAGUAUGGAAUGACGUGACACAUAUUCCAGAAAGGUACAUACUGCGAAGGUAAAGGAGAGAUGUUCAAAGAACACACACGAGGGUCACGAUAAACUAUGACGGGUUAGUUAGCACUCUUGCAUAAUUGAGUAUGAAUGUCUAACAAUUUUGUGUAGGUGGCAAACCUCUCAGCAAAUGAUGAAAUGUGUUCAAGUUCAAUCAUGGAGUGGAUAAAAUUUCUAUGUAAAGAGCUUACGACCACAAAAUCGAGCGCAGGAAGUAAUCUCAUUUCACAAAAUACUAUGUGUGUUAACACUCAAUGCAUUGAUUUAUCAAAUACUGUGAGCGUCAACAUAAAACACCCCUCUAGAAACAAUAUUCCAUGUUCACACCAAUGCCAUUCUCACUUUCACAGUUUUUCAUCCCCACACCAUUCUCCCUCUCACAACAUGUCUCACAAAGUACAAUUUGAUCAAUCCGUCGUCAGCGAACUUUAUGUAUAUUUCGCAAGGUCAAUAUGUGCCGUUAUACUAUCCAAGCUUACCGGAUGAAGAUGACCGAGGCAUUUGAUGGUGGUUAUUCCAUUUGUAACUCUUCCAUGAAGUUAUUACAUUUGAUUGUGGUUUGCAGGAAGUAGUUAUGUUUAUGCAUUAGUAUUAGCCAUUUUAAAUAUCUUGAAAUAUUCAGAACCAUAUGUGUAUUAAUUUCUGUAUUGAGAGACAUCAAAUAAAUUUGUAACUCUUCUCUUCGACGUUUGGUAAUUGCAUGAUGACUUUCUAUUAGA